Saimiri boliviensis boliviensis (Bolivian squirrel monkey) is the source of this 477-nucleotide non-coding RNA. The record is from RefSeq and is a predicted model, not a curated record. Lineage: Eukaryota; Metazoa; Chordata; Mammalia; Primates; Cebidae.
GCGGAGGGCCGCAGGCGGAGCGCGGGACGGCCCGGGAGUGAGCGUGGCGGUCUGCAGGGCCCGCGUUUGGUUUCACGGUCGCUUCUCCGCGAACGCACGCAGGUUCCGGGGCCGUCAUCCGUGUUUAUUCUACAAGCCUCAGGAUGUUCCCGUGUUUUCCAGACUGUAACAAUGUUCCCUGAAAUGCUACUAGUUCAAUAGGACAAGAAGUACAGAGAUUCUUCUGGGAGCUGCAAGGCCUGAAGUAACUUACCAAUGAAGAAACCUUGAACUGGACAUCCAGUAACCAACAGGAGCCUGGACCUGGGUCCUGCCACAGAUGACCCUUGCCUCGGAUAAUUCCUCUGACCUCACCGGUGAAAAUGCAUAGACGCUGAACUAAUGCAUGGAUAAAGCUAUAAGGGUGAAGAGAAAAGUUCCCCUUUAUCCUCUGAAGGUUCACUGAAAAAUCAACUGGCAAAAGGAAGAUUAAUAGAA